GAUUGCCUGGGAUGUGCGCCAGCAAGCCUAUGUCCCUGAGCCGAUGUCAUCAGUACAGGGGCUCACUGAGCGGCUAUUGUGCAAGCUCGACAUGUAUCGAGAAGCCUACGGUCGUGAUUUGCGCCCCGCCUUGAACCAGUGGGUUCAAGGGCUACGGCACGCAGCGGCAUCCUGGGCAAUCA
Molecule: non-coding RNA, 182 nt
Filed under: Pseudidiomarina salinarum
Lineage: Bacteria; Pseudomonadati; Pseudomonadota; Gammaproteobacteria; Alteromonadales; Idiomarinaceae
Description: 6S / SsrS RNA
Rfam family: 6S / SsrS RNA
About the family: E. coli 6S RNA was the first non coding RNA to be sequenced, but its function was unknown until recently. It consists of 184 nucleotides that fold into an extended hairpin structure with a large single-stranded internal bulge.
Source: Rfam by way of RNAcentral